This 462-nucleotide ribosomal RNA is filed under the name uncultured bacterium. RNAcentral describes it as "partial 16S ribosomal RNA". It matches the Rfam family "Bacterial small subunit ribosomal RNA", at positions 28 to 507 of the family's 1533-position model. The record is from RNAcentral.
GAUGAACGCUGACAGAAUGCUUAACACAUGCAAGUCUUUGGCGAAUCUGUGCUUGCACAGGCUAGCCAAGGCGGACGGGUGAGUAACGCGUAAAGAACUUGCCCUGCAGACAGGGAUAACAGACGGAAACGACUGAUAACACCUGAUACAGUUGCCGGCACGCAUGUGCCUGGCAAUGAAAAGAGAUGCUGCAGGAGAGCUUUGCGUCCUAUUAGCUUGUUGGUGAGGUGACGGCUCACCAAGGCGAUGAUAGGUAGCCGGCCUGAGAGGGUGAACGGCCACAGGGGAACGGGGAAACGCCCCUAACUCCUCGGGGAGGAGGAAGGGGGAAAAAUGGGACAAUGGGGGAAACCCUGAUCAAGAAUUCCGGGGGGAACAAAGAGGGUUUCGGACUGUAAAGUGCUUUCAGCAGGGAAGAAGAAAGUGACGGUACCUGCAGAAGAAGCGACGGCUAAAUACGUG